This 292-nucleotide long non-coding RNA is filed under the name Rattus norvegicus (Norway rat). RNAcentral describes it as "long non-coding RNA NONRATT001793". The record is from RNAcentral. Lineage: Eukaryota; Metazoa; Chordata; Mammalia; Rodentia; Muridae.
ACAUUCUGUGUGGAAAAACAUGGGAAAAUCAUGGAAGCCAUGGAAAAGUUUAAGUCUGGGAUGAGAUCCAGUGAAGUGUCCACACAAUACAGCAAGGAUACAGCCAGACAAGGGGGUGACUUGGGUUGGAUGACCGGAGGAUCCAUGGUGGGGCCAUUUCAAGAAGCAGCCUUUGCCUUGCCUGUAAGUGGGAUGGAUAAGCCUGUGUUUACAGACCCACAGGUAAGACAACAUUUGGAUAUCAUAUUAUUAUGGUUGAAGGAAGAAAAUAAAUCACAUGAAAGACUGAAAA